RNAcentral lists this ribosomal RNA (206 nucleotides) under uncultured bacterium. RNAcentral's name for it is "partial 16S ribosomal RNA". It matches the Rfam family "Bacterial small subunit ribosomal RNA", at positions 1295 to 1500 of the family's 1533-position model. The record is from RNAcentral.
GGAUUGCAGGCUGCAACUCGCCUGCAUGAAGCUGGAAUUGCUAGUAAUCGCGGAUCAGCAAGCCGCCGGUGAAUACGUUCCCGGGCCUUGUANACACCGCCCGUCACACCAUGAGAGUCGGGAACACCCGAAGUCCGUAGUCUAACCGCAAGGGGGCGCGGCCGAAGGUGGGUCCGGUAAUUGGGGUGAAGUCGUAACAAGGUAGC